Molecule: non-coding RNA, 492 nt
Filed under: Contracaecum osculatum
Lineage: Eukaryota; Metazoa; Nematoda; Chromadorea; Rhabditida; Anisakidae
Source: RNAcentral
UGUAAACUUGUACUCUAAUUGAUGUCGUCCUUAAGUGUUUAUUAUAAUUUACUUUUAGUUUUUGGGUAAAAUUAGAGAUUCUGUUAAUUGUUAUUUAAGGACAAAAAAUUUAGUGAGCAAGCCAGAUUAGUACCUGGUUAGAUAAAAGUUAAAAGAGCAGGAGUAAGGUUAUAUUUAAACUGUAAGAAUAUUGGCAGGUUUUUAAAUUAUCUUUGGAGGUUGAAUAGUAAUUGAGAGCCCUCAUUAUCUACUUUUAUUUUAGGCGCAUGUAUGAUCGUUUAUUUUAUUCUUGAGGAUUGUAAUUUUAGUUUAUAGCUAUAAAAAUAGAUAUAUACUUGGUCUAUAUUAAAGUUUAUUUUGACCUACAAUAUUAUAUUUUUUGGAUAAUAUUUGUAGUAAAUAUUUGAAAUUGUAAAAGACAGUAAAAUCUUCUUAAUGUAGAUUUGAAGUUUAUUUAAAAACGGUACAAAUCAUCCAUCAAUUGCCCAUAGG